AUGAAACACUGCCAGGCUGGCAAGUGCCAAGCUACCCCAUUUCAGAGCAACUCCCAAUCCUCACUCACAGGAGGAAAUGAGCCAGAAGGGUUGUCCUGGGACCCAGCUGCAUGCCCCGUCCUGCUCUCUCCCACAUCACUCCUGGAAUUUCCCCUCCUCUCAGUUCACUGCAGCGUGGUAUGUGAGACUGUGAGGGAAGAGAAGACAAACACUGGCGAAGGCUGGAGGAAAGGGCUGCAUGCUGGUUGAAUGCAGACAGGUGGGCAGGUGAAGGAAUAUUUGGCUGUGAGGUUUAGCUACAAGGGAAGCAGUCAGAAACCCAAUAGCGUUUGGAGACUCCAAACUGGACUAAAUGUAAAUCCAUUUGCCAGUAAGCUGAAAGGGCAAGAAAGCUGGAGGUGUUAACUGAAAAAGCAAAAGAGAUUAAGGCCAUUGUUCCAUGAGGGGGAGG
RNAcentral lists this long non-coding RNA (451 nucleotides) under Phasianus colchicus (ring-necked pheasant). Its description in RNAcentral is "lncRNA (ENSPCLG00000002206.1)". The record is from RNAcentral. Lineage: Eukaryota; Metazoa; Chordata; Aves; Galliformes; Phasianidae.